AUGGGGCUUCAAGAUUUUCCAUUUUAUCUCUCCAACUCUGCAAGGUCUAGAUUCACAGCCUCCAGAAAUCCAGUUACAGGAGCUGGUUUUCUGUGGCAUGAUUAUAGAAGGACCCCACGAAGAAAAGCCUUCCGUAUGUAUUAUGGUAACCCAGUGACCGGAGAUGGCUAUGAAUCCACGCAAGUUAAAGAAACCAGAACCACAACAUCAGCCCCCGCAUCAGACCUGAAACCCCGUCAACGCGUACCACCGGUGGAUUCUCCUCUGGACUUUGGUGAUUCCUCUCUUUCUCUCUCUCGAUUUCUCAAAUGA
RNAcentral lists this long non-coding RNA (312 nucleotides) under Bemisia tabaci. RNAcentral describes it as "lncRNA ENSSWEETPG012069". The record is from RNAcentral. Lineage: Eukaryota; Metazoa; Arthropoda; Insecta; Hemiptera; Aleyrodidae.